UACCAGCACCCCGAGUGGUCGGGACGAUUAUUGGGCCUAAAGCAUCCGUAGCCGGUUCUACAAGUCUUCCGUUAAAUCCAACUGCUUAACAGGUGGGCUGCGGAAGAUACUAUAGAGCUAGGAGGCGGGAGAGGCAAGCGGUACUCGAUGGGUAGGGGUAAAAUCCGUUGAUCCAUUGAAGACCACCAGUGGCGAAGGCGGCUUGCCAGAACGCGCUCGACGGUGAGGGAUGAAAGCUGGGGAGCAAACCGG
RNAcentral lists this ribosomal RNA (252 nucleotides) under uncultured bacterium. Its description in RNAcentral is "partial 16S ribosomal RNA". It matches the Rfam family "Archaeal small subunit ribosomal RNA", at positions 474 to 727 of the family's 1478-position model. The record is from RNAcentral.